GAAAAGUAGAGUCAGGAUAUCUCAAGAGAAAACACGACCAUGACGAGAAAACUGAACUGGACCCAAAUGUAUGAAGUGCAUGAAGCCACAUCUGUGAAGAUGGCCUGUGUGUGGACCCAAGUAGUUUUGGAAAUGACCAGAGAGGCCAUCUGUUCCCAGGACCAGGGAGGCCCCAUUCUGUUCCCUGCCCUGCAUGGCCAGCUGUCCCUGAACAGCUUAGCUGGCCCAUCGGGUUCUGUGCUCCUCCUGGAUUCCACCGAACAGCCCAAUGUUGCUGGUCAGGGCACAAGGCAGAUAGGGCGCCAGGGCUGAGGCUUGCUUUAGAGGCUACACAGCAAGGCUUGGAUCAUAGUGGCCACGAGGUGCCUUCAAAUGAGUAAUAGUCACUUCUAGUCAACCAGAUAGCCUGUCAUUCUCAAAUGAGCAUAGCAAAGGCCAUUUAUUUAGAGCUUGUCACAGUAAGAUGAACAGUCCCCAUUGCUGUGUUUCCCAAAGACUCAAAGAUGGGCAGGGGAUGGGGAGAGCUUUACAGAGGAGAGAAGGGGAUGCUCGGAGGCCCUCGGGGAAGCCACGAGACUGAGGAAACUGGAAUGUUACCAGAAGUGGAGGGCCCCUCCUCAGUAGUUAGAGGAGCCUAUUUGCCUUCUUUUUGUUGGUCCUAAAUUGGAAGUCAGGACAAAUUUUAGGAAGCUGUCAGCUACUAAUCAAGACUUGAUUGCUGGGUUGAUUGAUACAGGGAUAACGAUCACUGUUUAGUUUCCUGGACUGUCUCUCAAAACAGACUCCCUGCACAUAUGACUUAGAGAUAACAGGCUGGUUUCCUGGGCUGGUGAGCUGAGAGACGGGGUGGGCCCUGGGGCAGGCUGCAGCCGAUUGUGGGGGUCAGAGGUCUAUUUUUUUAAGAUUUUAUUUAUUUAUUCAGAGAGAGAGAGAGAGAGGCAGAGACACAGGCAGAGGGAGAAGCAGGCUCCAUGCAGGGAGCCUGAUGUGGGACUCGAUCUUAGGACUCCAGGAUCACACCCCGGGCUGCAGGCGGCGCUAAACCGCUGCACCACCAGGGCUACCAGAGGUCUAUUUUUUUUCCCCAGAGUUCUAUUUUUAUAUGUGGUCUCUCCAUUGUCUGUUUGUACAGUCUUAUGUCUCUGCAUGACAGCAUGUGGAGAGAGAGGAAGAGGAGAGAGAAAAAAAGGGGAGGGGGAGGGAUGGCAGGAGGCCCCUCAGUGGCUGGCAGGCCCUCACAGCCUCCUAUGGGGACAGUGACCCGCAUUCAAGGUCUCCAGCCCAGGACCCCAGGAAAAGUAGAUGUGUUCUGAGUGCACGGACUUCAUAACUGAAUACAAUAAAGGUCCUUUCAGAAAACAAAAGAAAAACUGUCCAACAUUUUGUCUUUCCAGACAAAUUUUUAUCUUGUACAUGUGAAACAAUUCAACUUUAGAGUCUGUCCUCCGUCUCCGGGAGCAUUUGGAGCCAGCAAGACACAUGUCCCAUCUCCAAUGUGAGCAGAGGCCCUGGGCUGUCACACAUGGAAGCAUUUGAACCCCAAAUAUAGUGGCCGUCAGUGUGUAUACGUGGGGCGGCUGCCGGGGCCCUGGUCACACAGUUUCUCAUGGAAUAAUGCAUGUUGCCUCAGGGACAGUGCUUGCCACUGGAUGUCCAGCUGUGCCCGGAUGCACGCAGGCCUCUGCUGGCUUUCCCAGGAAUGAGGACUGACUUCCUGCCACCAGCCACACUCUCUGUCCAGAAUCCUCCACGACAUUUUCCUCGCUCUUUCUGUGGCCCUUGAGAAGACUGACCCAUGCCUCCAUGUUGAGUACAGCCCAACACUGUUUCUGGGAUUCCUUUCCAACCUGUGACCUCUCAGAAGCCCUGGGUUUAUAUUUCUGGAUUGUCUAUAGCUGAAUGGGUUUUCAAGACAAGUCUGUACGGUUUCACAGGCCAGAAGAUGGGUCCUGGCGCCCAUGGUGGGUGCUGUGAGCCAAGUCGGGGUCCAGAGAGUAGAGGGUCUGGAGGCUGCACCCCCGAAUGGUUUCAAUUCAACAAAUGAAGUGCCAGGUAUGAUAGAACAUCAUUCUCUUAGCGGAGGGCUCAGAAAUACGGGGAGACACAGCCCGAGGACUUCCAGGCCAGCCCGGGGAGCAGAGGGUGUGAGACUGUCAGAGGGCUGCAUGCAAGCCCUCUGUGGAGGGUGGUGGAAGGUCCAGGGACAGAUAAUGGACAUGUAGGAAGAGGUGGACCUUCGUGGAAGGCAGGUGCAGGAAGUAGAACUUCCAUGGGUGGGAUAGAUGAUUGAGUUGAAAGAUUUGCUUCAAAACCAUCCAGCUAACCAUAGUAGAACCUAAAGAUGCUGGAUGAAAAUCGGUUGGUCCCACUCAUAUUGCAUUGGAUGACUCUUUGGGGAAACAUGACCUUCUCUGUUACUAUGUGUUUUGAUGAAUUAUUUCCUUUAUUGCAUGUUUGUCUGCGGAACACUCACCCUGAGCCAGAUCCUGCUCCAGGCCUUAGGGGCACAUAAGUGGAUAAAACAAGACUUACAUGCUUUCUCAAGAUGUGGAUUCCAAGAGGGAAGUAGAUAUGUAAAUAAAAGGUAAUAUAAAAAUAUCUUUGAGGGAGACCUGGGUGGCUAGGUGGUUGAGCAUCCCAGGUCGUGACCCCGGGGUCCCAGGAUCGAGUCCCACAUUGGGCUCCCUGCAUGGGGCCUGCUUCUCCCUCUGCCUGUGUCUCUGCCUCUCUCUCUCUCUGUGUCUCUCAUGAAUAAAUAUUUUAAAAAUAUACUUUUGGACUUGUCUCCAUCUUCACCUGGUGGAGAUAGGAAUUAAGAGAAAUGCAUUAACAUCGGUCAUGUGCUUGUUACAUGCCCAGCACCCUGACUGUACACACCUUUGUGCAAUUUACAGCCGGUGGAAAUGGCAGAUGCUGCUGUUCUGACUUGCUGUAAAGAAACCACACGAAGUGCAGCUCAGGCAAGGGUAUUAAUCUAGAAACCACUCAUGAGGGUGACUGGAGAUGGGACCAACAUAAGAAGAUGUGGGAACAGGAGAGGCACCACUUACCACGGGCGGACCCAGGAAUCUUAGUAACAAAGUGUUUGCAAAAAACACUGUAGAGAAAAUUUACAAAAUGUCUCUGGAGAAUUUAUAGGGUAAGUCGACCCUCCACCGUGGGGAGAGUCAGGGUCACAAACGUGUCACUGAGUCCUAUAUCGGUGUAGGAUUCUAAACAUUUCCAAAUGAGUAGUGGGGAUUAGAAUCCAUGCCUCUGGGAUCGCACUCAGAACAGAAACACUCAGAGAAGGAAUGAGGAGUUUAUGACAAAGAUAAAGGAGAAGACGGGCUGAUGUACGUCAAGACUCUUUCAAGGCUCUAAUGAGAUUAAUCUGGAGAUUGACACAUGCAUCAACAAAACAGAGAAGCAAGGCCAAGAUUGUGUGGAUGUGUAAAUAUAUAUAAUAAAUAUAGAAAGAGAUGUAUUAAUAUGUUCAUUUAUGCCAAACUUCUCAUAGAAUGUUUAGAAAUACACUUCACGAUCUCUUGAAAAAGAAGGGCUGACUUAGACAAUAAUAUGACAGACACACCUCAUAGAGAAAGAGAAGGAAAAAUCAGUCCAGAUCAAAUCUCAGUACUUCUCUUUGAGGAACAUGCUGUAAAGAAAGCUGAGAGAGCCAUGGCAGGUAGCCGUUUGGGAAAAGACAUCUGUGUCAUACAUGACAGAGGGAUCAGUAUCCAAAAUACUGAAAGAACUUGAGGAAAUUAAUUGGAAAACAAGCAGCCCCAUAGAUAAAUUGUCAAAGUGUGAACAAGAGUUUCACAUGCAAGGAAUCCUGAAAGAGUAAUGGGAAGAGUCUCAGCCUCACUGUGAGCAGCGGUGUGGGAGCGCGGCGGCCCCGAGAGCGUCCCCUUGUCAUCAGACAGGCAGGAGGACAGCGAGGUGCUAAUUCCGGGGCAGCUGAGUCCAGGGGUGGGUAUGCUGCCGGCUCCAGGGCCGCACACGGUACAGGGGGGAGAAGCAGUGAGGAAAUGCCCAGCAAGUUCGGAAGGGCACAGACCCUACACCGGGCACGUCCACCUGCAAAGUCACCCCCAGUGAGUCCAGCUGGUGGCAGUACUGACGCUGGGUGACGUCUCUGUGAGGGGAAACUUGGGAGCAAUCCCAGCGCCCAACGCUGGAGAAUAGGUCUGUGUCUGACCUUAGGAAGCAGUGUGCUUGUGCAUCAUGUGGCAUUUGUCUCCUUGUGACCGGCCCAUGUCACUCAUGGAAGGCACAGCUCCUGGCGACUGCUCGUGGGGGUGGGGGAAGGACCCAGUGUGCCGGAGUGGAUGAGACUCCUCUGGGGCGAGGGCUCUGUCCACCGUGCGGCUGCCUGCCUGAUGGUUUUGUGUUGGGGUUAACAGGUGAUGGGCGGGUUAGGGAUGCUCAGGGGAAGGUGACGAAGUCAGGUCCCAAGGGCUGCUCUUUAGAGACCCACGUGUCUCCUGGAGACUUCCAGCAGGCACUUGACUCUGUGGGUCUGGAGCUCAGCAGAAAGGCCAGACACACAGGUCAAGUGUGGGAAUCUGUAGCUCAUGAGAGUGUACAGGUGGUCAUUGGAGGUUCUGGAUUGAAACUGUUGCAAGGUAUAUCAGCUUUCGUGUCUGCGUCCUGGGGAGAGACCAUGCCGUCUUGAUGGGUCUCCCAGCUUUGCCUUUUGGGCCCAGUUCCUAAGGCUUGAUCCCUUUCCAUCCUGGCUCCCUGCUCUCCGCCUCUGCAGGUGGUGGCCACGUAAAGUCCAAGCGUCCCGCUGUGCCCACACUGUGCAAAAUGUGAACAUGAGGGCUUUGAAGAGCAGUCACAGAAAUGCCCGCUCAGCGGCCGCUCCAGCCUCCCCACACCCCACAGACUCAGCUCCAGAGGAAGUCAAGUUUAACUCCUGAAAAUGAAGGAAAAGGCGAGGGGUAUGAGUGUGUCCCCUGCAUGCUGAGGUCACCAUGACACCUUGCAACUUUGAGGAAGAGAAAUGCUUCAUUAUGGGUGAAAAGAAGCCACUUCUGAAGCCACUUCAACACCCCCUGGUUGAGCGCUGAGCCCAGAAGACUCGGCCGAUGUAGCCCUGGGGGCUUACCUCCUGCAGAGCUCAGCUCCACCCCACCUGGACAGGUGCUGUGCCCUUGGUUUGGUGUUUCCCGUGAGAUUCACAGGCUGGGAGCACGAGAUGUCUGCAUGUCAAGAACUGGAUCUCGCUGAGCACCUGCAAAGCCGAUGUGCGUCCCGUGGGGACGGACACUCAGCUCCGCCAUGGCCUGGGCACCGUCGUGCUGUUUCUGUUUCUUUCUAUCCCUUCGCUGUCUGUGUGUUUGGGGACGUAAGCACCACAUGCAGAGCAGGUGGUGGCCCAGAUGCUCUCCGGGGUAAUCGGAGCUUCCAGAGGGUGGCCCUCAGAUGGCUGCCAACCAUCGAAUCCCAGGUGUCUGCCUGGCCUGAGGUCACCGACUGAAACAGCCCUGGGGCCAGACUGCUGCCUUCCCGGCACCCCGGCAGCCCGGGACAAGGAGGUUGUCACUGAGGCUCACUGUCCUAAAUUAAGUGCUUGUGAGCUGUUCAAGUUGUAUUCCAUGAAAACAGGGUCAUGAAAUUAGGGCUUCCUCAGGGAAAGCCACAUGAGCACAGACCGACUAACCGUGGGUGUGGUGCACACCAGGCCGCCACGCGUCUGCUGUCCAGCUCCCCGAGUCCUUGGGUAAGGGUACACAUGACCUGUGAGUCCACACAUGUGGAUUUUCAUGACAAGGCCCGGGGGGAGGGGGGGAGGAUGCUUUGGGGACUGGCGAACAACGCAGUUGUGUUGGUAGGGCAGGGCAAAUAUAUACAGUCUGUAUUCCUUAUUUGUAAUAUGUAUUUUUAUUUAUUAAUGCUUA
Molecule: long non-coding RNA, 5888 nt
Organism: Canis lupus familiaris (dog)
Lineage: Eukaryota; Metazoa; Chordata; Mammalia; Carnivora; Canidae
Exons: 4
Source: RefSeq, a predicted model, not a curated record